Molecule: ribosomal RNA, 253 nt
Filed under: uncultured bacterium
Lineage: Bacteria
Description: partial 16S ribosomal RNA
Rfam family: Bacterial small subunit ribosomal RNA
Source: RNAcentral
UACGGAGGGUGCGAGCGUUAAUCGGAAUUACUGGGCGUAAAGCGCGCGUAGGUGGUUAAGUAAGUCGGAUGUGAAAGCCCUGGGCUUAACCUAGGAACUGCAUUCGAUACUGCUUAGCUAGAGUAUGGUAGAGGAAAGUGGAAUUCCCGGUGUAGCGGUGAAAUGCGUAGAUAUCGGGAGGAACAUCAGUGGCGAAGGCGGCUUUCUGGACCAAUACUGACACUGAGGUGCGAAAGCGUGGGUAGCAAACAGG